RNAcentral lists this ribosomal RNA (256 nucleotides) under Paragyromitra infula. RNAcentral describes it as "Gyromitra infula 5.8S ribosomal RNA". The stretch from base 2 to 155 matches the Rfam family "5.8S ribosomal RNA". From Rfam's summary of the family: 5.8S ribosomal RNA (5.8S rRNA) is a component of the large subunit of the eukaryotic ribosome. It is transcribed by RNA polymerase I as part of the 45S precursor that also contains 18S and 28S rRNA. Functionally, it is thought that 5.8S rRNA may be involved in ribosome translocation. The record is from RNAcentral. Lineage: Eukaryota; Fungi; Ascomycota; Pezizomycetes; Pezizales; Discinaceae.
AAACUUUCAACAACGGAUCUCUUGGUUCCCGCAUCGAUGAAGAACGCAGCGAAAUGCGAUAAGUAAUGUGAAUUGCAGAAUUCAGUGAAUCAUCGAAUCUUUGAACGCACAUUGCGCCCUCUGGUAUUCCGGAGGGCAUGCCUGUUCGAGCCUCAAUGAAACCGCUCCCCGUGCGGCCGUUCCUCGAACGUCCCCGGGGGUAGUGGCGGACGCGAACGCCCCCAAAAGCGUGCGCGCCGCUCAAAUCCGCGGUCCG